Molecule: long non-coding RNA, 7816 nt
Filed under: Nicotiana tabacum (common tobacco)
Lineage: Eukaryota; Viridiplantae; Streptophyta; Magnoliopsida; Solanales; Solanaceae
Description: long non-coding RNA (NTAB_LNC003022)
Source: RNAcentral
UGGUGAAAAGGGAAGAAGUUUAUAGGCGACAGAAUGCAAGGCCAUCAUUACCUAGGUAACUGGCAAACAUAAUUGUCGAAUCACGAGACAACACAUGUUCGAGUCAUUAAAAUCAAAGAGACGUGCGUCCUUUCAAAUGUUAGAAACCGUUCAAAAACUUUCCCGUAAAGAAAAAAGGUCUUAUUUAUUUCCCGAUCACAUCAAGUUGAGUCACCGAAAAGUAGGGAGAUUAUCUAUACGUAAAAUUAAUGAAUAACAGGUGGAUGUUCGUCGAGUUGACAUGUGGCAAUAAGGACAGGUAGGAUAUGAGUCAGCAAAUCGCUGACACUGGUUACAAGUAUGUGACCGAUAUUGUAUGAGUUCCGAAAAUAUCAAAACUGAAGGGAAGAAUUCGAAAGCAAGGUGCCGAUUAAAGAAGGCACCAUUAAAGGAGCAGCCUUUACAGAGAAUCCUAGCAUUUACACUCAACCGUUAUGCGGCUAUCAAGAGAGGUCUUUAUUUACCUUAAAAAGGAGCUUGAUUUGUGAAUUUUGUCUCCCCUAAUUUAGUUAUAAAUAUAGAAAUUUGUAGUCAUUUGAGGACCAAAAUACUUGUAUGAAAAAGGUUAAUAUUAUUCUCUUAUUUUGCUAAACAUUGUUCUAUUAGAAUUUAGUUCUUGAUAUUGUUCUUGUUUUCAGAGAAGUUCAAUUCAAGGCCCAGGCUUGUCUUUUAUUUAAGUAAUUUUAUUUUAUUCAAUUUUGUUCUUCAUUACUUUAUAUUCUUGUAUCAAUUUAAUUCACGUGUCUAUAAACCAUUUUACGAAUUCAACUGUACCGUUUUAUGGGUAAACAACUGGAACUUAAAAAACAAAAAAAAUCUGGAAUGACAAAAUACUACCCGAAGACAAAGACAAUGGGUGCUUAAGCACCCACGCUACUAAAUGUGAAUCCGCCCUCACUAAUACGAAGAGAAUAUGGACGUUAGAUUCCAAUCAUUUUCAACAUACAUGACGAGUAGAAUGGUACAACUGCACUAACACGGAAGUACAAUUUAUUACAGAUUUAUUUAGGUAGAUAGGUAAAAUAGCUAUAUAUAGGAGGAAGAAUUUUUUUCAUCCAUGGGUUUAACUUUUGUUUUUCCUGUAAUUAAACCAUCAACCUAGUCUUUCACCUCCUAUGGGGGGUAUGGGGGGAAGAGGGAAUUUGGGGUUUGGCAUGAACCUUACCUUAUUUAUUAAUAGCAAAAGAAAACUUAAUUAGCUCAGUUGGGGCGGAGGAUAUUAAGGAGAGAUUCACCCAAGGAUGGGCAGCAUCUGUUGAUGCAGCAAUCUGCAUAGAGAGGCCUAACAUUGCAGUAAGAGCAGCUGUUGGAGCAAAACUCAGAGCAAGACUCUGCAUUUCCAGUGUAGAAACAGACUACCAUGAGUACUAUUAUCAUCCAAAUUAUAACUAAAACAUUGUUAUUUUUCUUCACCAUGGCUCUCUCUCUCCCUCUAUAUUUCACUUCUUCUCUAUGUUUUACAUUGUUUUUGAAGGAUAUAUAUAUAGUACUUCUCAAGGAGAAAAAACACUAUUGUACUUCUUGGAAGAUCUAUUGAUAAAGCAAAUGUAACAUACCCAAUUCACAUAUAGAUAGUGGUUUUAAUUAAGGUUUUUAACAUUAAACUCAUUGUACAUUUAAAUAUUAGAUCAAAUUUUAAUUUUAGUUGUUAUAUACGUAUAUGUAUUUGUAUGUUCCGAUUUCUUGUCAAAUAUUGGGUUCAGUUGAAUUCAUUGUUCAAAAAUUUUAGCCGCCCUCAAGUCUUCCCUAUAGAGCCGCCUCUCAAGUCUCACCUAAUCCCAUCCGAUCUCUCGCCCCCCCCUACACACACAAAAAGAAAACACAUAAAAUAUGUUGACAAAUCUAUAUUAUAUUUCAUGAUUAAGACAAUAAUAGAAUUUCCUUUUCUGUUUUUGAUUUACUCAAGGACAAUAAUUGAGUUAAUAAAGUCCACAAAUAAUUGAGAGAGAGUGUUUGUUAUAAGUUAUUAUCCAAGAUAGCUACUAGCCUACUGCUUAACCAUUGGGCCCAGCAAUAGUUGUACAAGAGACUGAACUCUCAUAUUGUCCAAGUAAGCACUCUCCACGUUAGGCAUCCAGCAAAAUUGCUCUAGAUAGAAUUUGACUGAACUUUCUUUUCUGUUGUUGUUGUUUUUUCAAUGAAGGAAACCCAGAAAAUUAAUCUGAAAACAAUUUUAGCAUGUAUUUUACCUUUGAAAUUUAUCUGCGGUCCUUGAAAUAUUACUUCCUCAAUUCUAACAGAUGUCUGAAUAUGACUUUUAUUUCUAAAAACUAAAUUAACAAUUAAAAUUGUUAAUAUGUAAGAGGAACAUGUAGGGUCCUAUAACGAAACUCUCUCUCUGUAAGAGGCAUGCCAACAUACCGUUGAGACAAAGUUUCACUUCCACUCCCAUUUUGUAAUACGCAUUAGAAUUUAGAUUAAUUCCUUCGCUCUUUUUCCUACCACGUAGUUUGAAAACCAAUGUGUUUACCCUUAAAACGGAUAACAAUUAAAUUUGUAUGCAGUUUUAAGGAUAUGUGGAUUGAUUCAACGUAAAUAAUUAAGAAUAUUUGAUAAAUGAUUUAAAGACAAAAUAAAUAACCAAACCAGUUGCAAUGUUAUGGCGUAGCCCUAAUUUAGGUUGAACCGUAAUUUAACCCCGAUCGGUCCCUUGGUUUGAACUCAAUUGUGAAUGAAGAACAAAACAAUUAAGUAAGAGCUUUUACAAUAGCUAGAGAAUAGAGAAUGAAUUUGUAUUGCCUUGAGUUGCGAGUUACAAGGUAUGAUAUCAAAGAAAAACUUCCAUUUUAUAUAGUAGGAGAGUUUCAUACCUAGUACAAGUCUAAAAAGGACAAAAAUCCUCCUUCCUCGUUAAUUACUGAUCCGUAACCGACGUAGAUCUUGCCCGAUGUCGGUUACAGAUUAGUAACUAAUGAGGAAGGAGAAUUUUUACCUUUUUAGACUUGUAUUAGGGAUGAAACUCUCCUACUAUAUAAAUGAGAAGUUUUUCUUUGAUAACACACCUUGUAACUCGCAAAUCAAAGCAAUACAAAUUCAUUCUCUGCUUUCUAGGUAUUGUGAAAGCUCUUACUUAAUUGUUUUGUUCUUCAUUCUCAAUUGGUUUUGAACCAAGGGACCGAUCGAGGGCAAACUACUGUUCAACCUAGAUUCGGGCUAGGCCAUAACAUUGCAACUGAUUUGGUCAUUUAUUUUAUCUUUAAAUCAUUUAUCUAAUAUUCUUGAUUAUUUGUGUUGAAUCAAUCCACAUAUCCUUAAAACCGCGUACAAAUUUAAUUGUUAUAUGUUUUAAGGAUAAACAGUUUGAUACAAAUCUCCAUAACACACUCUAUUACGCUUGUUCUUUAAAGUCUUAAAUUUAGGUCAGUUUAAAAAUAUCAAAUUCGCAGUCUGCCUACUUGAACAUUGAUGUUGAGUCUGGCCAUCAUGGCGAAAAUAAUAAUCUAGUGCAUAGCAACGAGGUGCCUUCUGCUGAUACCAACGGAGUCUUAGUUGCCGAUCCGGUCUAUGCUAACUCAUAGGUGACCAUCGAUGUCAAUCUACGAACCGAUCCCGAAAAUAGCGUUGGUGAGGGACCCAGACCAAUAACUCGAGAAGCGCCCGAAGGCCAAGGCAAUGGGGUAAGCUUACAGUUAAUCUUCGAAACGUUGCAGGCUCAACAAGAGGCAAUAGCGCAGCUACAAAAUCAAAGUCACGCCCCCAAGAGGGUUGAGCCCGAGCAAUCCUGGGAGCAUUCAGACCGAAUGACUCUAUGAAAUUACUUCGAUACUUCCACAUAUUAUAGGUAAUGUAGGAGACAUCUCUAUUUUUCCCUCGGGGAAUUUUUAGAAUUCCCACUGCUUAACUUUUCAUCCGAAGAAAUGAACAGAUCACCGAGAGACCGGGUGAAGCUGAGUCCGGGGUCAAUCCCGAAAUAAUGAAAAUACUUGAAGCAUUAACAUAGAGGGUGGAGUCAGGUGAAAAGAAAAGUGAGGCCAAUGAAAAUAAGGUGGAAACAUACAAUUCUAGGGUCGAUCAAAUCCCGGGAGAAUCCCCGAUAUUGAAAGGGCCGGAUUCCAAGAAGUUUAUCCGAAAGCCUUUUCCUCCGAGAUUGUCACCGAAGCUGAUCCCAAAGAGGUUUCGUAUGCUUGAUAUCACAAAAUACAAGGGAACCACAGAUCCAAAUGAGCAUGUGACCUCCUAUACAUGCGCAAUCAAAGGGAACGACUAGGAGGAUGACGAAAUCGAGUCGGUGUUACUGAAACAGUUUGGGGAGGCUUUGUCCAAAUGAGCAAUAAUAUGGUAUCACAACUUACCCCCCAAAAUUCAUUGACUUGUUUUCUAUGCUUGCAAAUGCUUUUGUGAAGGGCCAUGCCGGGGCCUUCAAGGUCGAGACCAGAAAGUCAAACUUUUUCAAGGUUAAACAGAAAGACAACCAGAUGCUCACGGAGUUCGUGUCAAGAUUCCAGAUGGAAUGGAUGGACCUGUCUCCGAUCGCAGAUGAUUGGGCCGUUCAGGCAUUCACUCAGGGACUUCACCCCCGAAGCUCCUUGGCUUCAUAACUGCUAAAACAAAAUUUUCUAGAGUACCCAACGGUGACUUGGGCUAACGUCCACAACAUGUACCAGUCAAAAAUCAGGGUCGAGGGCGACCAACUCGGAGCCCCUUCUGGGUUUGUUUAUCCCAUCAAGGUCGACGACAGGUCCAAGAGAGCCGUUGAUCAUGAGUCAAGGCUGGUACGGGAUCGGUAUCAACCAUACAACACGGAUCGAAGAGGAAAUGGGUCCGGACGUCACCCCACAAGAAAUGAGAAGAGAAGCGAUCGAGGGCCCAAUACCCGUGGUUUGAUGAGUAAGAAUGGUUUUUACAAGCCACUCGGGGGUAGGAAAGCACCGAGAUUAUCAGAGUAUAACUUCAACGUUGAUACUGCCAGCAUCGUGUCAGCCAUCAGACGUAUCAAGAGACCAAGUGGCCCCAACCAUUGAGCUUUGACUCUACCCAAAGAGAUCGUAACUUGAUGUGUAAGUAUCACGGCACUCAUGGUCACCGGACGAAGGAUUGCCAAAAAUUGAGAGAAUAAGUUGUCUGGUUGUUCAACAAUGGGCACCUCCGAUAAUUUUUGAGUGAUCGAGCCAAAAACCACUUCGGGAAUAGGGAUGCCAACAAACAGGUUGAACAAGUAGAGCCUUAGCACGUCAUCAACAUGGUCAUUGGAGGGGUCGAUGUCCCCCAAGGGCCAAUGAUAAAGUGCACUAAAGUAUCUAUCACAAGGGAAAAAUGCACCCAAUAUUAUGUCCCGGAGGGAACCAUUUCAUUCGGCGACGAGGAUGUCGAGGGCAUUGUACAGCCUUACAAUGAUGCGCUGGUAAUAUUUGUACAUAUCAAUAAAUCACGAGUUAAAUGUGUGUUGAUUGAUCUAGGUAGCUCAGCCAACAUCAUCAGAUCAUGGGUCAUAUAGCAAUUGGGGUUAAAGGUCCAAAUAGUGCCGGCAAUCCGAGUGUUAAACGGAUUUAACAUGACAUGCGAAACCACUAAAGGGGAGAUAACCCUGUUGGUGAACAUCAUCGGGACGAUCCAAUAGACAAUGUUCUACGUGAUCGAAGGGGACAUAUGGUAUAACUCCCUAUUUGGAAGGCCGUGGGUUCACAACAUAAGGGCGGUACCCUCGACCUUGCACCAGGCAUUGAAAUUCCUUACGCCGGGAGGAGUCAAGAUGGUCUACAGAGAGCAGAUGUCUGCAAAGGAGAUCUUUGCAGUCGAUGAGGUAAUCACGGUGCCUGCGUUUUUGACAUCAAGGAAAACAAAGCCGACCAGAAAGAAAGAAAUUAAAUAGCAAUCACUGAUGUCGGUCUCGGCCGAACCAGAGGAAAGAGGAGUAGACGAGGAGGAUGAUUACGGAGUUCCAAGAUCGUUAUUAGCUCCUGAUGAUACCGACUCCACCAAAUCGACCGUCAAAGAGUUGGAGCAAGUCAUAUUAAACGAACACCUACCGGAUCGAAAGGUAUACUUGGGCACGGGGUUAACCCCCGAUCUCAGGAAAAAACUCAUCAAUUUUUUUAAAGCUAACAUAGACUGUUUUGCUUGGUCCCAUCUUGACAUAAUAGGGAUCCCGCCAUAGGUAACCACUCAUAAGCUGAGUUUGGACCCGAAGUUCCAUCCGAUUAAGCAGAAGAGGAGGCCGCAAUCUGAGGUCAAGCAUGCAUUCAUCAAGGACAAGUUAUCCAAACUCUUUAAAAUAGGGUCCAUCUAGGAAGUUAAAUACCCGGACAGGUUAGCUAAUGUUGUGGUAGUGCCUACAAAAGGGAAUAAGCUAAGAAUCUCUGUAGAUUACAAAGAUCUAAACAAUGCAUGCCCUAAGGAUUCUUUCCCUUUUCCUAACAUCGAUCGAAUGAUCGAUGCAACGGCUGGGCAUGAGAUACUCAGUUUACUCGAUGCCUAUUCCAGGUACAACCAAAUUCGGAUGGACCCGGAUGAUCAAGAAAAGACAUCUUUCAUCACUAAAUUUGGCACAUACUUCUAUAAUGUAAUGCCGUUUGGAUUAAAGAACACAGGUGCUGCUUAUCAACACUUAGUAAAUUGGAUGUUCGAAGAACAUAUAGGAAAAUUAAAUGACGUUUAUAUUGACAACAUGUUAGUCAAGUCCAUGCGAGCAGAGGACCAUUUGAAAUAUUUACAGGAGACCUUCGACAUACUAAAGAAAUACAAUAUGAAGCUGAAUCCAAAAAAGUGUGCAUUCGGGGUCGGAUCGGGAAUAUUCCUCGGUUUCAUGGUAUCCAAGCGAGGGAUCGAGAGCAACACCGACAAAAUCAAAGCCAUAGAGAACAUCAUCGUGGUGGACAACGUCAAGGCCGUUCAAAGGUUGAUCGGGCAUAUAGCCACCCUGCGCCAGUUCAUAUUGAGGUCCUCGAACAAAAGCCAUCGAUUCUUCUCACUAUUUUGGAAGAAAUCAAAUGGUACCUAUCAAGUCCGCCCCUGCUGCACACUUCGAAGACGGAUGAACAAUUGUACCUUUAAUUGGCAGUUUUCGAGGUGGCGGUAAGUGGAGUCUUAGUCCGAGAGGAAGAAGGUACGCAAUUUCCUAUUUACUAUGUCAAUAAAACUCUAGAUGAGGCCGAAUCAAGGUAUCCAUAUGUGGCGUGACCUCUUACCCGCUGAAGAACAUCAUGCACAAACCCUAGUUCUUGGGCUGGUUGGCCAAGUGGGCCAUCAAAAUUAGCGGGUACGAUAUUGAGUAUCGACCCCGAACCUCCAUAAAAUCUCAUAUUUUGGCAUACUUAGUGGCCAACUUUAUGCCGGGCUUAAUACCCGAAGUCUAAAGGGAAUUGUUGUUCACCUUGGGGACCACUUCAGGAAUUUGGACCCUUUUUACGCACGGUGCCUCGAAUGCGAAGGGGUCCGAGCUCGACAUCGCAUUAAAACUGUCUACGAGGAAUAUAAUUAGGGAAUCUGUUAGAACUGUGAAAUUGACUAACAAUGAGGCCGAGUAUGAGGCCAUGAUUGCAUGUCUAGAAUUGGCUAAAAUCCUUGGAGAUGAGGUGAUCGAAGUUUAGUGCGACUCCCUCCUCGUGGUAAAUCAAGUUAAUGGGACGUUCAAAGUAAAAUAAGCACAGAUGCGAAGGUACUUGGACAAAUUACAGGUAAUGCUGCAUCAAUUCAAGGAAUGGACCCUGCAACACACACUCUGAGAUCAGAACAGUGAGGCUGAUGCUCUGGCUAACUUGGGGUCAUCGGUCGAUGCCGAUGAAUUCAGUUUGGGAAUAGUAGUGCAACUAAUAAAAUCGGUGAUAGAAGAAGGCCACCU